Molecule: non-coding RNA, 23 nt
Filed under: Arabidopsis thaliana (thale cress)
Lineage: Eukaryota; Viridiplantae; Streptophyta; Magnoliopsida; Brassicales; Brassicaceae
Source: RNAcentral
AUGGUUGUAUGGGUCAAAGCAGA